GAUGAACGCUGGCGGCGUGCCUAAUACAUGCAAGUCGAGCGAACAGACGAGGAGCUUGCUCCUCUGACGUUAGCGGCGGACGGGUGAGUAACACGUGGAUAACCUACCUAUAAGACUGGGAUAACUUCGGGAAACCGGAGCUAAUACCGGAUAAUAUAUUGAACCGCAUGGUUCAAUAGUGAAAGACGGUUUUGCUGUCACUUAUAGAUUGAUCCGCGCCGCAUUAGCUAGUUGGUAAGGUAACGGCUUACCAAGGCAACGAUGCGUAGCCGACCUGAGAGGGUGAUCGGCCACACUGGAACUGAGACACGGACCAGACGACUACGGGAGGCAGCAGUAGGGAAUAUUACGCAAUGGGCGAAAGAAUGACGGAGCAAAGCCGCGUGAGUGAUGAAGGUCUUAGGAUCGUAAAACUCUGUUAUUAGGGAAGAAAAAAUGUGUAAGUAACUAUGCACGUAUUGACGGUACCUAAUCAGAAAGCAACGGCUAACUACGUG
Molecule: ribosomal RNA, 497 nt
Filed under: uncultured bacterium
Lineage: Bacteria
Description: partial 16S ribosomal RNA
Rfam family: Bacterial small subunit ribosomal RNA
Source: RNAcentral